Bos taurus (domestic cattle) is the source of this 3185-nucleotide long non-coding RNA. NCBI's taxonomy places the organism in Eukaryota, Metazoa, Chordata, Mammalia, Artiodactyla, Bovidae. The record is from Ensembl.
GCUGACACCAUGCAUGGAACUGGGGAACGCCCCGCCCCUCCCAAGAGCACUUCCCGAGGGCCCUCUGUCCUAAAGGGAUACAGAGCAGCUCAGGCUGGUUUCUGUCUCUGAUUCCUGCCCCCACGCCUCAGCGCUGUACUACCUAGGAGUAAAUACACUAGGCAGUUCAUUUGUCUCUAACAUAAAGUUUUUCAAGCACUCUCCAUGUGCUAGGUACUGUUCUAAGGACUCUACAAGCAUUAACUGCAUCAAUAACAACCUUAGAGGUAAGUACUCUUACUCGUUGCCUCUUACAGAUGAGAAAUCUGAGGCCCAGAGAUGUCAGGGACUUGCCUGAAGAAACCCAGUGACGUAAUGGUAGAGCCUAGAUUCCAACUCAGGCAUCCGGGCUCCAGAGCCUUGGCUGGUAGUUGCAUAAACACAGGCUGAUUGAUUAGCAUGUAAGGACCACGCUGGAAACAUGGGAAGGUGGGAAGUGACAAUAGGUCACUAGCUCCUGCUAAGCCAGCAAAUUUUUUAAAAGAUUUCCAACAGGUUCCAAUCCACUUGGCCUGGGGUGGGGCCCAGGAAUCAGUACUCUUUAAGACUUCCCAGAUGACCCCACCAUGCCGCCAGUUUGGAGAGCCUCUGCUCUUGGAAAGAGGCUCACCGCACAUGUGCUAUGCAACCCUGGGCCAUGCGCUUAGCCUCUCGGCCUCAGCCUCCACAUCUGGGGAAUGGGAAUGCUGUGGCUUUGGUGACUGCAAGGAGCCUCACGUGUGCACAGCGGCAGGGGCCUGCCACACACUGCCAGCUCCUAUCACCAAGCACAGGAGCUCUUGGCACCCAGGCAGAGACGGGCGCACCAGUCUGCUCGGGCAGCCGUAACAAAGCACCACAGACUGGAGCUUAACACUGGAAUGAGCCUCUAACAGUUCAGAGGCUAGAAGACUGAGAUCAAGGAGUUGCAAGGCUGGUGUCUCCCGAGGCCUCCCUGGCGUGUAGACGGCCAUCUUCACCCUGUGUCCUCACACAGCUGUCCCUCUGUGUGUCUGCGUCCCCUCUCCUUCUGAGGACACGAGUCACAGUGGAUCAGAGCUCAUGUUAACUCGGUACUUGUGCAGAGGCCCAGUCUCCAGAUACAGUCAAUCCUGAGGUCCCAGGGCUAGGGCUCCAAUACAUGAAUUCUGGGAGGUGGGGAGGGUGUUACAAUUCAGCUCAGAACGUGGACAGAACCUGUCCUGAGGUGCUUUCUUGGGUACACAGCUGAGAAUCCAGAAUCUCACACUGCGAGGUGGGUGGUUCUCACUUAAGAGAGCAUUUGACAAUCUCUGAGCCUGGGUUCCCGAUCUGGGCUUUGCCCCUGCCAGCCCUCCGAGGGUUAAUCCAAAGGUCUCUGGAGUUGGGGGGAUUUACUGCCCCCGGACCUUUAUCAUCUCACCCUGACGUUGAGGGCUCACAUUUCCCACUUAAUUACUUGUCCUGCAAUCAGAAGAGAUAGCUGGCUCUGUGCUGAGUUGGCUGCAGCUGUGAACUGUUUAUUUACUUUUCCUCAGCCUGAGAAUGGCUAUAAUUUAAAGGUUCAGAUCUCAGCUACCCUGCCUGGUGCAAACCCCGCUUAAACACUUCCAUAUUGCUCGGGUGGAAUGCGCUGGAAGCUGCCCACCAUGACUGCCGAUUCAACUGUCCACCCCAAGAGCUCGCAGGAAGCCUAGAAGCCAGAGUCGGUGUGAGGACUGCAAGACAGCAGAACGGACUGGCCCCAGACCACCCCACUCCCACCACAGUGGUCCCGGCCACAGUGGAAGCCACCGCUCUCACUAAUUCCUGCGCCAAAUGGUGUAAUUACCACUGAAGUUGUCAAAUGGCAUCCAGAUGGUCUCGCCUUUCACACCAGCGGUUUAAUAAGCUUUUAGGCGUGACCUUGGCAGCUUGUGCUCCACCUGCACACCCCCUGGUUUGUGAAAUCCGAGCGCACAAUUAGAUCAGAUAAUGAGUGCCCAGGCCACCAGCCUUGAACUCUGCAAGCCCUCUUCAAGGGGCGCCCAGAGAGUCACCCCAUGCCACUGACAAAUGGCAUGUGUCCCACCACAAACGGAGGGCCCCUGUGCAUGGCCCCCGGAGGCCUGCUGGGGAGAUCACAGAGACCCUGAGGGGGCCAGCGGCACAUGUUGGGGGCCAGGCAGCUCCCCAGCAAGCUGUUUCAAGAGCUGAGUUCUGGCAAACCAGAGGCUUGAACCUGGCCAUCUCCUCUGAAGACCCAGGCAGCCCAUCAGGGAGGAAAUGCUUCUAAUGCUGCCACCCCAUCAAGGGGGAACCCCAGCAUGGGAGCCACCUGCUGCCACAGUGUUGCCCCUUCAAAUACCUUGAGCCUGAGUAACUCCAGAGCGAAGCUUUCAGCGACCGUGCACUGAAGAGUCACAUCUCACUGUCAUUUUGAAAAGUCAGUUAUUCUUCCCCAGCGUGGGGCACACUGCUCUGGUGUGCACACAGCUAACAGGCCUACAGCCAGCGCCAAUCCCGGGGCUUCACACACAGUGACUCAUCUAAUCCUCAGAUGACCUGGGUGCUGCCUUUAUCCUCCAUUUAGAGAUUAGAAAACUACAGGGAGGGAAAGUGACCUGCCCAAGGUCACACAGCUAGGGAGCAGCAGGAACCGGAUUUGAACCCAGGUGAGGAAGCAGACAUCACGAGUGCACACAACUAUGAUCCCAUUUGCGUAAACAAAUAAUAGUUAUCGUUUCAUUGUUAUGCCUGUAGGAAAACAAGCUACGUAUUUUAAAGCUUCAGGAUUUGUGCAGAGGUUUAGAAAAUGACAAGCAGCCCAAGGAGAGCCCCCACACUGAUCAUCUCAGUGCUCUGCCAGACCCGAGAAAACGAGCAGAUUGAAAGAAAAGAGCAAAUCAGAAGCGUGCGCUGUGAUGGGUUGGCGCAGAGGGCAACCGGAGAGGAGCCAGACACUUGAGCUCUUGGCCAGGGAGAGAGGUUUCUGUGGGACAAUCUUGUCCCCAACCUUUGCCAGGUCUGGUUCCCGCAGACCUCAGAGAACUAGGGGAGGCCAAAGCACAAAGGGAAAAUGCAAAAUGUCUUUGUUCCGACUCCCUCAUUGCAUUUGACUCUUUCUAGGGCAUCAGCAUUCCCCUCACAGGCAUCCUGGGUUUUCAUGGACCCAUCUCAAGGUGGCAUUGAAAACCUACUCUUAAGAC